GUAUCAGCAGGUCAGUAAUAUGGUGUAUCAGCAGGUCAGUAAUAUGGUGUAUCAGCAGGUCAGUAAUAUGGGGUAUCAGCAGGUCAGUAAUAUGGUGUAUCAGCAGGCCAGUAAUAUGGUGUAUCAGCAGGUCAGUAAUAUGGUGUAUCAGCAGGUCAGUAAUAUGGUGUAUCAGCAGGCCAGUAAUAUGGUGUAUCAGCAGGCCAGUAAUAUGGUGUAUCAGCAGGUCAGUAAUAUGGUGUAUCAGCAGGUCAGUAAUAUGGUGUAUCAGCAGGUCAGUAAUAUGGUGUAUCAGCAGGCCAGUAAUAUGGUGUAUCAACAGGUCAGUAAUAUGGUGUAUCAGCAGGUCAGUAAUAUGGUGUAUCAGCAGGUCAGUAAUAUGGUGUAUCAGCAGGUCAGUAAUAUGGUGUAUCAGCAGGUCAGUAAUAUGGUGUAUCAGCAGGCCAGUAAUAUGGUGUAUCAGCAGGUCAGUAAUAUGGUGUAUCAACAGGUCAGUAAUAUGGUGGAUCAGCAGGUCAGUAAUAUGGUGUAUCAGCAGGUCAGUAAUAUGGUGUAUCAGCAGGUCAGUAAUAUGGUGUAUCAACAGGUCAGUAAUAUGGGGUAUCAGCAGGCCAGUAAUAUGGUGUAUCAACAGGUCAGUAAUAUGGUGUAUCAACAGGUCAGUAAUAUGGUGUAU
Oncorhynchus keta (chum salmon) is the source of this 676-nucleotide long non-coding RNA. RefSeq lists it as uncharacterized. The record is from RefSeq and is a predicted model, not a curated record. NCBI's taxonomy places the organism in Eukaryota, Metazoa, Chordata, Actinopteri, Salmoniformes, Salmonidae. The transcript is spliced from 3 exons.